RNAcentral lists this long non-coding RNA (1163 nucleotides) under Fukomys damarensis (Damara mole-rat). RNAcentral describes it as "lncRNA (ENSFDAG00000022913.1)". The record is from RNAcentral. Lineage: Eukaryota; Metazoa; Chordata; Mammalia; Rodentia; Bathyergidae.
GGACUGGUCCAGGGGAGAACGGGUGAUCCCUUGUUAGCCGAGAAGACAGAAGAGAAAGCUUGCCAGGGUAACUCAGAAAUACUUUCCUCCCUGAUGGAAGAGGUGCAGAAGGAGAAAGCCCAACACUGUAGCCUCUGUCUUUCACACUAAAUGCUAAAUGUUCGAAUCAACAAUUCUAGAGAAGCUGGAGUCACAGAUUCUAAAGUCAUCAGCCAAUCAUCUUCUCUGCAUGUCAGGCCCCCAGGAACCACUGCAGAGUGGAUGCCACCUGUCCUGUGCUAGAGAGGAGGUGACCUGCGGCACAGCCAGCCAUAGCCAUGGUGUGCCUUCUUCUCAGCAUGGCAGCCAGGUGGAGUGCUUUUGGGCUCAGCUGGGAUCUGAACAGGAACCAGGAACACCAGUGAGAAUUCUACCAGAAAAUCCUCUACUCACCAUCCAUGUGAUCCGCACUUUGAUGUCUCACAAGCAAACAUCCAUUCCACAAAUGUUCAUGGAGCAUCUGGCACUUCUAGGAGGGACAGAACACUACAUGUGGCCCUGAGAAGGCUCUAGGUUAGAGGCCAGCACACACUCAGGUAUUUAAAGUGUCAUGUAACAUAGGUGGAACCAGAAGAUCACAGAACCGUGAAGCCCUUCUGGAGGUGGCACCAGGGCUCUGCCUUGCCAGGAUUUAUUGUCAAAUGUGUCUGAGCCUAAGAGAAGCUCAGACACCAUGGUGGCUGGGGAAGUGAAAGAGGAAAGAGCUAAUCUAAGAGUCACUGAGAAGGAAGUGCCUCAUCAAUACAGUGACUUAGUGACAAGUCACUCACAGGGAAGGAAGCUUGGGUGGUGGAGGAGUCAAAGUCAGAGAGACUGGAGACAGCCAUGACUGCUGCUGGCAGCAAAGAUGGCCAGGCAUUCUGAGUGGGAAGACAAAGAUGAUGAGUUUUGACACAUUGAAUUGGAAGCAAUGAGAAAAUAUAACAGAAAUACUCAGGCACUAUCUUAAGGGGAACUGGGAUUGCAGGGCUGGUGCUGGGGAGGGUAUGGGAAAGCCGUGGGAGAGAGGAAGAAGGUCUGUUUUCUCAGGUGACGGAGGUGCCACAGAACCAGUCUUUCACUCUUCUGCUUUCCUGGGGCCUUUUUGUGGUAAUUAAUGGGGAGAAAAAAAUCUCACAGCAGAA